RNAcentral lists this ribosomal RNA (406 nucleotides) under uncultured Eubacteriales bacterium. RNAcentral's name for it is "uncultured Clostridiales bacterium partial 16S ribosomal RNA". It matches the Rfam family "Bacterial small subunit ribosomal RNA", at positions 355 to 774 of the family's 1533-position model. The record is from RNAcentral. Lineage: Bacteria; Bacillati; Bacillota; Clostridia; Eubacteriales.
UCAGGAAUAUUGGGCAAUGGGGGAAACCCUGACCCAGCAAUGCCGCGUGAGGGAUGAAGGUCUUCGGACUGUAAACCUUUGUUUUCCGGGACGAACACAAUGACGGUACCGGAAUAGAAAGCCACUGCUAACUUACGUGCCAGCAGCAGCGGUAAUACGUAGGUGGCAAGCGUUGUCCGGAUUUACUGGGUGUAAAGGGCGUGUAGGCGGGACUGUCCGUCGGGUGUGAAAACUGGAGGCUCAACCUCCAGACUGCAUCCGAAACAACAGUUCUUGAGUAUCGGAGAGGUAAGUGGAAUUCCCAGUGUAGCGGUAGAAUGCGUAGAUAUUGGGAGGAACACCAGUGGCGAAGGCGACUUACUGGACGAUUUCUGACGCUGAGGCGCGAAAGCGUGGGGAGCAAACA